RNAcentral lists this long non-coding RNA (1444 nucleotides) under Felis catus (domestic cat). Its description in RNAcentral is "lncRNA (ENSFCAG00000046281.2)". Lineage: Eukaryota; Metazoa; Chordata; Mammalia; Carnivora; Felidae. The record is from RNAcentral.
AUGCGGCGGUGGAAGUGGAGCGGCUGGCGCUCCCCAGGAGCUCCGCAACGCGAGGUUUCGGGCUCGUGGCUUUGCUUCCUCUGGGUCCCCUCUCCAGGGCCGCUCCGCAAGACGAAGAUGCCGAGGAGAGCGCCGCGGGGAGGGCGCUUCGGGCCGUGCGCGCAGCGCCCACAAAGGGCAGCAGUCCCGCCGCCCGGAGCCUCUGCUGCGUGGGGGCUGAGGGCCGCUUCCCGGCCCCCCGGAGAGUUGGAGACUGUUCUCUGGCCUCGGCCGCGCGGGGGUGAGGUCGGGGGUCGGCGCGGCCGCUACUGCCCCGGCUCCGUCCGGCGCAGCUGCCGCCGCGGCCGCCCCUGGUGCCUGCGCGCCAGCACCCGCCUGCCGGUCCUUGCCCGGCGCCGCUCACUCGCGCGCGCCGCCCCACCCCCCGCCGCCGCCGCCGCCGCCGCCGCCGCCGCCGCCGCCGCCCGCGCACCCUGCUCGGCCUCAGCGAGCGCGACCGACGCGAGUCGCAGCCGCCACCGCCGCUCUCCCCGCGCUCGCCGCACGCGCUGCCAGGCUGCGCGGCCCUCUCUCUUCUCCUCUCCUCUCCCCGCCCGCUGCCGCCGCCACCGCCGCCGCCGCCCUCGCCCCCGCCUCCCUCCUCCGCCGAGCUUCCCCGCCCGCGUCGUGGCCAAUCGGAGGCCACCGAGCUGCGGCUGUAGCCGGCCAGAUCCACGGCAGCCGUCCGCCCCCGCCCUGCCGAAGCACCCCGUUUUUGCUGCAGCCCGCGGGGGGUCGCCGGAGGGAAGUCUGGGGUUUUUGGGGUUUUUGUGCUUUUAGUAUUUGAAAACCAAACUCAAUGUUUCCAUGGAAAAUAUAACCAACUCUACAGAGGACAGGAAGACGUCAGAGCUGCUCUGCACAGACUCCAGAAUUUGUAGGAAAAGAAACGAAGGGGUGGUGACAGGCUGGCAGCGGGGGAGAACCAUGGUGAGCAGGAACACGGACACUUGAAGCCUCCAGUGAGAGUUUCAAACUCAACAUGCCCGGCAAAAGUUAGCAAUGAAUAGAUGAUGAAUUGAGAUAGCUCCUGCCUGAAGGAAAGCAACCUGCUUAGAUCUGAAUAAGCAGGAAAUUCUUCAGUUUGUUCAGCAGAACCUAGAAAAGAUAACCCUAGAAUCUGGCUAAAAUCCUAAAGGCAUUCCAUGUAGUACACGUUUUUUGGUUUGUUUGUUUUGUUUUUAAGAAGCACAAAAUCAGGGUCUCCUGGGUGGCUCAGCUGGUUAAACAUCUGACUUCAGCACAGGUCAUGAUCUCAUGGUUUGCGAGUUCGAGCCCCACAUCGGGCUCUGUGCUGACAGCAUGGAGCCUGCUUGGGAUUCUCUGUCUCCCUCUCUCUCUCUGCCCCUUCCCCAUCUGUGCGUGCUCUCUCCCUCAAAGUAAAUAAACUAAAACAACAACAACA